RNAcentral lists this ribosomal RNA (514 nucleotides) under uncultured Alternaria. RNAcentral's name for it is "eukaryotic LSU rRNA". The stretch from base 170 to 323 matches the Rfam family "5.8S ribosomal RNA". Lineage: Eukaryota; Fungi; Ascomycota; Dothideomycetes; Pleosporales; Pleosporaceae. The record is from RNAcentral.
AUUACACAAAUAUGAAGGCGGGCUGGAACCUCUCGGGGUUACAGCCUUGCUGAAUUAUUCACCCUUGUCUUUUGCGUACUUCUUGUUUCCUUGGUGGGUUCGCCCACCACUAGGACAAACAUAAACCUUUUGUAAUUGCAAUCAGCGUCAGUAACAAAUUAAUAAUUACAACUUUCAACAACGGAUCUCUUGGUUCUGGCAUCGAUGAAGAACGCAGCGAAAUGCGAUAAGUAGUGUGAAUUGCAGAAUUCAGUGAAUCAUCGAAUCUUUGAACGCACAUUGCGCCCUUUGGUAUUCCAAAGGGCAUGCCUGUUCGAGCGUCAUUUGUACCCUCAAGCUUUGCUUGGUGUUGGGCGUCUUGUCUCUAGCUUUGCUGGAGACUCGCCUUAAAGUAAUUGGCAGCCGGCCUACUGGUUUCGGAGCGCAGCACAAGUCGCACUCUCUAUCAGCAAAGGUCUAGCAUCCAUUAAGCCUUUUUUCAACUUUUGACCUCGGAUCAGGUAGGGAUACCCGC